UUGAAAAUGUGCCUCCUGG
RNAcentral lists this non-coding RNA (19 nucleotides) under Rattus norvegicus (Norway rat). Lineage: Eukaryota; Metazoa; Chordata; Mammalia; Rodentia; Muridae. The record is from RNAcentral.